This 443-nucleotide ribosomal RNA is filed under the name uncultured bacterium. RNAcentral describes it as "bacterial SSU rRNA". It matches the Rfam family "Bacterial small subunit ribosomal RNA", at positions 29 to 507 of the family's 1533-position model. The record is from RNAcentral.
AACGAAUGCUGGCGGCAGGCCUAACACAUGCAAGUCGAACGAGAAGCUCACUUCGGUGAGUGGACAGUGGCAGACGGGUGAGUAACGCGUGGGAAUCUACCCAAAGGUACGGGACAACCAUUGGAAACGAUGGCUAAUACCGUAUGUGCCCCUCGGGGGAAAGAUUUAUCGCCUUUGGAUGAGCCCGCGUUGGAUUAGCUAGUUGGUGGGGUAAAAGCCUACCAAGGCGACGAUCUAUAGCUGGUCUGAGAGGACGAUCAGCCACACUGGGACUGAGACACGGCCCAGACUCCUACGGGAGGCAGCAGUGGGGAAUCUUGCACAAUGGGCGAAAGCCUGAUGCAGCCAUGCCGCGUGAGUGAAGAAGGCCCUAGGGUUGUAAAGCUCUUUCGCUAGGGAAGAUAAUGACGGUACCUAGUAAAGAAGCCCCGGCUAACUCCGUG